GUAGACUGGACAGAGACAACUGGCUUUCACAAUGAUCAGACCUGAUUAUCUAGUGGUUUUUCUCAUCCUGUCAAUUUACUCUGCAGGUACUGAGGGUCAAACACUGACUGAGUCUGAACCAGCGGUUAAAAAGCCUGGAGAGUCCCACAGACUGACCUGCACAUAUUCAGGGUUUAGUAGUAAUAUUGAUACUGCUUGGAUCAGACAAGCUGCUGGAAAAGGACUGGAGUGGGUUGCUACUAUCAGUGAUAGCAGUAGCAGCAUCUACUACUCUGAGUCAGUGAAAGGCAGGUUCACCAUCUCCAGAGACAACAACAGACAGCAGGUGUAUCUGCUGUAUCUGCAGAUGAACAGUCUGAAGGCCGAGGACACAGCAGUGUAUUACUGUGCCAGAGACACACAGUGAGAGACAGUAACAGGAGAGUCGUACAAAAACGACUUCCUCUAUUUACCACCACCCAUGAGAGCAUUCACUUUAAAUUGAAAUACUGAAUAUUGACAUUCUAUUUUAUA
Molecule: non-coding RNA, 513 nt
Organism: Notothenia coriiceps (black rockcod)
Lineage: Eukaryota; Metazoa; Chordata; Actinopteri; Perciformes; Nototheniidae
Source: the annotation of a RefSeq genome assembly